GACGAACGCUGGCGGCGUGCCUAAUACAUGCAAGUAGAACGCUGAAGCUUGGUGCUUGCACCGAGCGGAUGAGUUGCGAACGGGUGAGUAACGCGUAGGUAACCUGCCUGGUAGCGGGGGAUAACUAUUGGAAACGAUAGCUAAUACCGCAUAAGAGUAGAUGUUGCAUGACAUUUGCUUAAAAGGUGCAAUUGCAUCACUACCAGAUGGACCUGCGUUGUAUUAGCUAGUUGGUGAGGUAACGGCUCACCAAGGCAACGAUACAUAGCCGACCUGAGAGGGUGAUCGGCCACACUGGGACUGAGACACGGCCCAGACUCCUACGGGAGGCAGCAGCAGGGAAUCUUCGGCAAUGGACGGAAGUCUGACCGAGCAACGCCGCGUGAGUGAAGAAGGGUUUCGGAUCGUAAAGCUCUGUUGUAAGAGAAGAACGAGUGUGAGAGUGGAAAGUUCACACUGUGACGGUAUCUGACCAGAAAGGGACGGCUAACUACGUG
This 497-nucleotide ribosomal RNA is filed under the name uncultured bacterium. Its description in RNAcentral is "partial 16S ribosomal RNA". It matches the Rfam family "Bacterial small subunit ribosomal RNA", at positions 28 to 507 of the family's 1533-position model. The record is from RNAcentral.